AAGCCAUUAUGUGGGCAAUCUCUUACUAGCCUUUUAAACCUCGCCCAGGCAUCACUGAGCGAUUCGUUAAUUUCCUGUUUAAAAUUUGUAAUUAACUUCCUCUUUCU
Small nucleolar RNA from Benincasa hispida (wax gourd), 107 nucleotides. The record is from RefSeq and is a predicted model, not a curated record. NCBI's taxonomy places the organism in Eukaryota, Viridiplantae, Streptophyta, Magnoliopsida, Cucurbitales, Cucurbitaceae.